RNAcentral lists this ribosomal RNA (253 nucleotides) under uncultured bacterium. RNAcentral's name for it is "partial 16S ribosomal RNA". It matches the Rfam family "Bacterial small subunit ribosomal RNA", at positions 524 to 776 of the family's 1533-position model. The record is from RNAcentral.
UACGUAGGUGGCAAGCGUUAUCCGGAAUUAUUGGGCGUAAAGCGCGCGCAGGCGGUUUCUUAAGUCUGAUGUGAAAGCCCACGGCUCAACCGUGGAGGGUCAUUGGAAACUGGGAAGCUUGAGUGCAGAAGAGGAAAGUGGAAUUCCACGUGUAGCGGUGAAAUGCGUAGAGAUGUGGAGGAACACCAGUGGCGAAGGCGACUUUCUGGUCUGUAACUGACGCUGAGGCGCGAAAGCGUGGGGAGCAAACAGG